GAUGAACGCUGGCGGCGUGCUUAACGCAUGCAAGUCGAACGGUGAAGCAGAGCUUGCUCUGUGGAUCAGUGGCGAACGGGUGAGUAACACGUGAGCAACCUGCCCCUGACUCUGGGAUAAGCGCUGGAAACGGCGUCUAAUACUGGAUAUGAGCUGCGACCGCAUGGUCAGCAGUUGGAAAGAUUUUUCGGUCUGGGAUGGGCUCACGGCCUAUCAGCUUGUUGGUGAGGUAAUGGCUCACCAAGGCGUCGACGGGUAGCCGGCCUGAGAGGGUGACCGGCCACACUGGGACUGAGACACGGCCCAGACUCCUACGGGAGGCAGCAGUGGGGAAUAUUGCACAAUGGGCGAAAGCCUGAUGCAGCAACGCCGCGUGAGGGAUGACGGCCUUCGGGUUGUAAACCUCUUUUAGCAGGGAAGAAGCGAAAGUGACGGUACCUGCAGAAAAAGCGCCGGCUAACUACGUG
RNAcentral lists this ribosomal RNA (467 nucleotides) under uncultured bacterium. Its description in RNAcentral is "partial 16S ribosomal RNA". It matches the Rfam family "Bacterial small subunit ribosomal RNA", at positions 28 to 507 of the family's 1533-position model. The record is from RNAcentral.